GAUGAAGAACGCAGCGAAAUGCGAUACGUAAUGUGAAUUGCAAAUUCAGUGAAUCAUCGAGUCUUUGAACGCACAUUGCGCCCGCCAGUAUUCUGGCGGGCAUGCCUGUCCGAGCGUCAUUUCAACCAUCAAGCCCCCGGGCUUGUGUUGGGGACCUGCGGCUGCCCGCAGGCCCUGAAAACCAGUGGCGGGCUCGCUGUCACACCGAGCGUAGUAGCAAUCACCUCGCUCAGGGCGUGCUGCGGGUUCCGGCCGUUAAACAGCCUUACAAAACCCAAGGUUGACCUCGGAUCAGGUAGGAAGACCCGCUGAACUUAAGCAUAUCAAUAAGCGGAGGA
Molecule: unclassified non-coding RNA, 338 nt
Filed under: soil metagenome
Description: partial contains 5.8S ribosomal RNA, internal transcribed spacer 2, and large subunit ribosomal RNA
Rfam family: 5.8S ribosomal RNA (bases 1-119)
Source: RNAcentral